UAAUGCUUGGGAAUCUAGCUUAUGGAGAGGGAUAACUACGGGAAACUGUAGCUAAUACCGCGUAGAAUCGAGAGAUGAAAGUGUGGGACCUUCGGGCCACAUGCCAUAGGAUGAGCCCAAGUGGGAUUAGGUAGUUGGUGAGGUAAAGGCUCACCAAGCCGACGAUCUCUAGCUGGUCUGAGAGGAUGACCAGCCACACUGGGACUGAGACACGGCCCAG
RNAcentral lists this ribosomal RNA (220 nucleotides) under uncultured bacterium. RNAcentral describes it as "partial 16S ribosomal RNA". It matches the Rfam family "Bacterial small subunit ribosomal RNA", at positions 111 to 334 of the family's 1533-position model. The record is from RNAcentral.